RNAcentral lists this ribosomal RNA (490 nucleotides) under uncultured bacterium. RNAcentral's name for it is "partial 16S ribosomal RNA". It matches the Rfam family "Bacterial small subunit ribosomal RNA", at positions 28 to 507 of the family's 1533-position model. The record is from RNAcentral.
GUUGAACGCUGGCGGCAUGCCUAACACAUGCAAGUCGAACGGUAACACGAAAAGGCUUGCUUCUUUGCUGACGAGUGGCGGACGGGUGAGUAAUGUCUGUGAAACUGCCUUAUGGAUGGGGUUAACUACUGGAAACGGUAGCUAAUACCGCUUAACGUUUCAAGACCAAAGAUGGAGAGUGUCAGGCGGUUUUGCUGCCGCUUUUCCCAGAUGGCGUUAGCUAGUAGGUGAGGUAACGGCUCACCUAGGCGACGAUCCAUAGCUGGUCUGAGAGGAUGACCGGCCACACUGGAACUGAGACACGGUCCAGACUCCUACGGGAGGCAGCAGUGGGGAAUAUUGCACAAUGGGCGCAAGCCUGAUGCAGCAAUGCCGCGUGUAUGAAGAAGGCCUUCGGGUUGUAAAGUACUUUUAGCGGGGAGGAAGGGAGUAAAGUUAAUACCUUCGCUCAUUGACGUUACCCGAAGAAGAAGCACCGGCUAACUCCGUG